UACAGAGGUCUCAACCGUUGUCCGGAUUUACUGGGCGUAAAGAGCGCGCAGGCGGCUGGUCAAGUCCGAUGUGAAAUCUCCCGGCUCAACUGGGAAACUGCAUCGGAAACUGAUCGGCUUGAAGAUGGGAGAGGGUAGUGGAAUUCCCGGUGUAGUGGUGAAAUGCGUAGAUAUCGGGAGGAACACCAGUGGCGAAGGCGACUACCUGGCCCAUUAUUGACGCUGAGGAGCGAAAGCUAGGGGAGCGAACAGG
Molecule: ribosomal RNA, 253 nt
Filed under: uncultured bacterium
Lineage: Bacteria
Description: partial 16S ribosomal RNA
Rfam family: Bacterial small subunit ribosomal RNA
Source: RNAcentral